RNAcentral lists this ribosomal RNA (327 nucleotides) under uncultured eukaryote. RNAcentral's name for it is "partial 18S ribosomal RNA". It matches the Rfam family "Eukaryotic small subunit ribosomal RNA", at positions 1470 to 1796 of the family's 1831-position model. The record is from RNAcentral.
CCCUUAGAUGUUCUGGGCCGCACGUGCGCUACACUGACGGAGGCAGCGAGCAUGUCCUUCGCCGAGAGGUGUGGGGAAUCUUGUGAGUCUCCGUCGUGCUGGGGAUAGAGCAUUGCAAUUAUUGCUCUUCAACGAGGAAUGCCUAGUAGGCACAAGUCAUCAGCUUGUGCCGAUUACGUCCCUGCCCUUUGUACACACCGCCCGUCGCUACUACCGAUUGAAUGGCUCAGUGAGGCCUUCGGACUGGCCCAGGGAGGUUGGCAACGACCACCCAGGGCCGGAAAGUUGGUCAAACUUGGUCAUUUAGAGGAAGUAAAAGUCGUAACA